GACAGAUUGGUAUCAGAGCUACAGGUUACAGCGAAUUAGGUUUCUAUAGAGAUACCUAGGCUCUAACCUCACUUCCCUCUGGGAACUUAGACUAUUAAGACGUUGAAUACAUACAGAACGCAUAGUACUCGAAUAUGGCCUCCAACCGUUGCCGAAAGACAAACAGUUAAGAUUUUGUUCUUAAACAUACGCCAAAGUGGUGUUUUACACGCGGUGCACAAAACAGUCGCAUACAGUACACAAAACUCUGAGAGUUUAGGAAACAUGCAUUUAAGACCUUCGGAAACUCAUGUAGAAGUUCAUUAAAGGUCACCACGUAGGUACCACGUUUAUUAACUCGAACAAACGUCAUUUUUAUGCCAUCUAUGCUAUUUAGCCGAGCAGGUAACCUACGAAAAACGAAGCACGAGCGUGCAAAAGUACAUGAAAACUCGAUCAACGGAGGUUGAAGUAUGUCACAUACGACUAUCAAGGCGAUGCCUUAGAAAGGACACGAUGGCGCAAUUCAGCAACGACGCUAGCACGAAAACUAUCGAACAGGAAGCGGCGGUUUCGCACGCGGUCCUGCAAAUGACACGAGUCAUGCUAAGGAGAAGACGUAUGUCUCCGCAUUCCCCCUAUCUGAAUCAUGACAAGUACGCUAUGUUUGACAUUCCAUGGUAAUGUCACCUAACAACUGGUUAUCACAUGCAACCCCAGGUAAAGUCCUUAAAUUUCUUUUAUUGAAAUUUCGACUUUCACACUUACUGAGUAGAUUUUCGUAUCUCUACUCCUCUUAAUGGUCAUUGUGUCACAAUCAUUUCUCUCAGUAUAGCGAAUAUUCAUUUGCUUCAUUUCUUGAAAAUUCAUAUGUUACGCAUGCAUCGUUUGUUACGCAUGUGGUUUCGUUUCGAAUAAAGCGUUUCAUUGAAGUUCAAAUAUUGUUUCGCUAAAUCUUAUUAUUGAUUUGUGAUUCAAAUGACCCGCAUUAUUGAAAUUGUUGGCUUCUUUGUUAUCAAGUCAACACACUUUAUUGAAAUUUCUUUUCUUUUCAAGUUACAUACAUGGUUUUCGUUGUAACCAUGCCGAAAGUUUUCUUGUCAAUACAAGUAGUUAUUGUCGGCUUGCGCCGAAGUCAAAUUCAAUUGUUUGAACUUGUUCAUUUCACAUAUUCAAUUCAAGACACCAUAUGAUGUAUUGAAAACAUCAUAUUCAAAUUCGUUUUAACAAUCGUUUCAUUGUUCUGAGUCGUAGUAGAUUUGUUUGGUCUACGACUCCAAUAAGUCGUUUGUUGAUUUCGACACCUUGUGGUGACAUUAUCACUGAAUUGAAGCUUGCGCUAAUCUCAUGCACGGAUUUAAUUAUCUAUUUAUUGAUUUAGAUUAAAUCCGAUUCGGUUUAUUAUUGCGCUUUCAUUUACUUCAAACACGGUGAACUUGUUUGAUCACCGCUAUUAUUGAAUUGUUUCAUUCACUACGACACCUUGUGGCGUCGGUAGAACUUGCAGCUUGGGCUGAUCAUGAUCGAGCGUUUCAUGCAAAACUAUUUCGUUUGGGCUUGUUGAUUCUGAGCCUCUCCUAGCGAAUGUUAUUGUUUCUAACAUUCAUUUGCAUAUUGUAGACGUUCACUUGGAAUUCUAUUGGUUGAAAUUCCUCUUUUAUUGGACCCCUGUUAACUUGGUCACAUUAGUGACUGUAUCAGUAUGUCUGGUUUCCUUUGAAUUACGUAACUCUAGGGAGUUGACGUAGUCUAAAUUUCGAGGACGAAAUUUUAUUAACAGGGGGAGAAUGUGACAACCGGUAAUUUACGCCCUUAAUUACGUGAUUAACAGGCGAUUAACACGAUAAUAAAUAGUGCUUACGAUGCUAAUUAACUUAAACAGGCCCUUGGAGUGCCCAGAAACGUUUGUUCAGCUAUACAGUGCGCGUGUGGUGAUUUACUGAAAAUCUGCUGAAUAUUACGCGACAACGGACUGAUACCGUGCAAAAUACAGACGGCACCGACAUAUAUGGACGUUACACGAAUAUUUUAUGCUCAUGGAGUUUGGGUCGCGAUACCGGGUCUCGUAGAAAUUACGGACCACUUACACAUGAGAUGGGCUUGUGGGCCCUAGGCCCAAGCCCAAAACCCACAAGCCUAAACCUGCAUAUAAUAUAGAUCCUUACUACAAGACUUUCUUGUAAAUCUUACCAAGAUCUCUAUAGAUCUUAUAAAAUCUUGCCAAAAUCUAAACAAAUCUACACAAAGGAUCUUGAUUCAAAGGGGUAAAAUAUAUUACCUGAAUGUAAUGUAAAUACACAAUAGACAUAUAUGACACUUUGAUCUAUAAAUAAAACCCUUUCCUGCCUUUCUUUCUCACUCGAUACACAUGAAACAAAAACACCAAACACACAGACUUUAAGUCUGUCUCUCUCCCCUCUCUCAUUCUAUACAUAUACAAACCUCACACUCUCUCUUUUACUCACAACUUGAACAGCAGACAACAUAAUCCUUCUCAUCCCCCUCUCUCUCGAUCAUAUAUACACUAACAACACACAUUUACAUCUCUCUCACCCUCUGAAGAAUCGGCCAGCAACCACCGUGGCGGUGGCGGCGCGUGGCGGUGCGUGGCAGUUCUCCGAUCAGGCGACCCCCUAUUCUUCUCCCUGUUCUACCGGUUGUACACCUUUUUUUUUCGAACAACAAAACGAGCCACCACCACCAUUGUUCGGUGGUGGUGCGGCGAUAAAGACCGAGACGAGAGAGAGGGAGAGACUGAGAGAAGGAGAUCGAGAAGAGAGAGAGGGAGAACCAGCGGAGGUGGUGGUGACCGGUGGUCCCCGUCUCGGACCGGUGGUCCUUUACUCGGACCGGUGGUCGACACUUUUAUCCAGCGACUACAAAUCGGGAGGAGAGAGAGAGGAACGAGAUGAGGAGAGAGAGAGCGACGGAACGACAAAGAACCACCGGCGGCGGUGGCGGCGCCUGUGACGGUGAUGGUGUCUCCGACAAGGUCCGUUCUAAUUCGGGUUGUAUACCGGCUCGAGUAUGUGUUCUGGAGCUUCGAUUCAGGCGGGUUGGUCGUCUCAGCUUUGGUUCCAGUUGACUCGGUCAAACUCGGGUCAACACCGAGUCAACUCAGUCAACCGAGUCAACAGUGGUCAACAGCAGGUUCGGGUCAACAGUUUGGUGCGGUCAGCUGUGGUCAACGGCUUUGGUUCGGGUCAAGCGGCUUGGUCAGACUCAGCUUCGGAUUUGGUUGACUCGGUCAAACCGAGUCAACUCGGUCAACCUGGUCAACUCAGGGUGUCGACUCAGUCAACUCAGUUGACCCGGUCAAAUCAGUCAACCGUUUUGGCGUUUCGACAUUAGAAAUUGGUAAAGAUUUAGCGGCGCGAUUACUUCGUUAUUUUUUUUUUAUAUAUCGUGAUAACGAGCUCGAACCAAUUGAUUAUGAUUUACGUUUGAUACAUAUUUGAAAAAAAUUGCAUAUAGUA
Molecule: long non-coding RNA, 3455 nt
Organism: Helianthus annuus (common sunflower)
Lineage: Eukaryota; Viridiplantae; Streptophyta; Magnoliopsida; Asterales; Asteraceae
Exons: 2
Source: RefSeq, a predicted model, not a curated record